GAUGAACGCUGGCGGCGUGCCUAAUACAUGCAAGUAGAACGCUGAAGGAGGAGCUUGCUCUUUCCGGAUGAGUUGCGAACGGGUGAGUAACGCGUAGGUAACCUGCCUGGUAGCGGGGGAUAACUAUUGGAAACGAUAGCUAAUACCGCAUAACAGUAGAUAUUGCAUGAUAUUUGCUUGAAAGGGGCAAUUGCUCCACUACCAGAUGGACCUGCGUUGUAUUCGCUAGUUGGUGAGGUAACGGCUCACCAAGGCGACGAUACAUAGCCGACCUGAGAGGGUGAUCUGCCACACUGGGAUUGAGACACGGCCCAGACUCCUACGGGAGGCAGCAGUAGGGAAUCUUCGGCAAUGGACGGAAGGCUGACCGAGCAACGCCGCGUGAGUGAAGAAUGUUUUCGGAUCGUAAAGCUCUGUUGUAAGAGAAGAACGAGGGUGAGAGUGGAAAGUUCACACUGUGACGGUAUCUUACCAGAAAGGGACGGCUAACUACGUG
Molecule: ribosomal RNA, 496 nt
Filed under: uncultured bacterium
Lineage: Bacteria
Description: partial 16S ribosomal RNA
Rfam family: Bacterial small subunit ribosomal RNA
Source: RNAcentral